CUCAGGUGAUGAAAAUGUUCCAAGACUAGAUUAAGAUGAUGGUUGUGCAACGUGGUAAAUUUGCAAAGGCAUUACACACUUACAAUCUAGGUAACUUUUGUGGUCUGAAAGUUACACUUCAAUAAAGUCAAAUUCUGUUAGUGAAAUAAAGAGAAAACAGAGCAAUAAAAUCUAGAUAAGCAUCAUCCAAGAAUAGCCACCUGGAGUAUUUCAAUGUCAAAUAGGAAAAGCAGGUGACAGAGCAAUUGAGAUAAAAGCUUGGCUCUCGGGCUUGGGCAUGGAGGACAGGUUAUUUUAAGCAGCAGUCCUUAUGUCAAUGAGUUCACAUCUCAGGACAGAGCUGUCCCUCUCCCCCUCUACUGAGUUUGCUCUGGCUGGCUGACCCAUCCUGGGAAUGUGCCCCAUGUCCACUGACUUCUCUGCGAUGAAGCCAAGGCCCCCUGCAGACACAGUCAGUCCUCCAGCACAGAAGCCAGCAGGGAGAGGUGGGGACAAGCAAGCUCCAUUUAAGGCUGGCCUUGAAGAUGUCAAUUUUUCCUUCUCUUACCAUCAUCACCAAGUUCUACCAUCUCCACCUUCCAAAGAUAUGCCUCAAAUGUAUCCACUUUUCUCAUCAUACUUCAUAAUUUGCUUCCCGACAGCAAGUCUUUCUCCCCUCAAAUUUUAUCUGCUUGCUGACUCCCAAGCGUGGAGAAAUUUUUUAAAAGGCCAGCUCACCUCCCUCUGAGCCCUCAGCAGCUUCCUACUCCUUUACACAGAGAUUGUCUCUGCACCAAAGCCUGGACUGACUCCUCCAGAAUGAUGGGCAUAAAGUGAUCCCCUGGGUUGCUGAAUGGAUAAAUCUGCCAGCUGCAAACCAGAACCACCUGGAGAGCUUCUUAAAACUCUAAAUCCACAGAGUGCCACCCACAGAGACUUUGAAUCAGCAGAAGGAAUCCAGGAUCUGUACUUUAACAUGCUUCCCAAGUGAUUCUCAUGUGCACAUCUGAGGAGUCUCUGAUUCAAAACACCAGAAUAUUCAUCCCUAUGAGACUUUUCCUUCUAUUUUCCAACUUUCUGUAAGACUGUUGUAAUUCAGCUGUGAUCUGUGUCUAUAAAUUUAUUUAAAAUUACAUUAUACUAAAGAUUUUAUUAAAAAUCACAUAAUCUUGGUAUAUUCUAACUUCUGCCGAAUUUGCAUAUACCAUAAGGAAGCUAUUAUUUUCUUACAUCAAGAAGGAAAAUGGGCUUUGGUUAUAGCUCAGUGGUAAAGUGCUCCCUAGCACACACACAAGACCCUGAAUUAUGAAUAUACAAUGAAUAUAUAAUAAAUUAUGAAUAUAUAAUGAAUACAUAUGUAUUUUUUAAAUUCCUUUAUUUCUUACAACACAUUCAAUUUAAUUCGCUUAUGGUAUGUAUAUAAUCCUUUUUGGUACCAUGAAGAAAUGAAGUUCUACUGUCCUAUUUUAAAGAUCCCUGCCCCUACCAGGGUCCAGCUUAGGUAUUCAUAGAGCAGAGCAAUUUGCGUGGAUGUGGUGUGAACAAUACACAUCACAUCGACUCCCAAGGUUUGAAAGGCAAAUACAGCCAG
Heterocephalus glaber (naked mole-rat) is the source of this 1570-nucleotide long non-coding RNA. Lineage: Eukaryota; Metazoa; Chordata; Mammalia; Rodentia; Bathyergidae. The record is from Ensembl.